CGAAUCCCGCCCGGCCAAGGUCACGCCCGACCAGCCGGAAGCCAACCUUGCGACGGACCCCGUGAGGGGUUCGGCGAUGCGUAGGCAGGUGAGUGAGCGAGCCGCAGCGUGCCAGCCACGAAAUUCUCCAACGUCCGGGUGCCCAGGGCGUUCUCCCGCCUGAAGGCAACAGCGUCCUACCUCGCAAGGGCGGGAGGGGGACGCACCCGGCGGGGUAGCUGGCUG
Non-coding RNA from Sorangium cellulosum, 225 nucleotides. NCBI's taxonomy places the organism in Bacteria, Pseudomonadati, Myxococcota, Polyangiales, Polyangiaceae. The record is from Rfam.